Molecule: non-coding RNA, 19715 nt
Organism: Rattus norvegicus (Norway rat)
Lineage: Eukaryota; Metazoa; Chordata; Mammalia; Rodentia; Muridae
Source: RefSeq, a predicted model, not a curated record
UUUGGGAGAAAACACUCAGUUGUCCUGCCCUGGCACCAGGCAGCUUCACUCCAGGCUCCACUGAAUGGUGUCACAACAAAGUGAGAUUCACAGUCUGCGCUGGGGUGGUUUGCCCCAGGGAAGGUAAACAGCUGGGGAGGACAUUUCAGAGGGUGGCAGUGUCCUCCCAAAGGUUAGCCAGUGAUUGGGGAUAGAGUUUGGGAGUCAGCCUUUCACAAAGGCAUACUUCUCAGCAGGAAAUGUGGGUGGGGCGGAGCAGUCCUGGGAUAGAGACAAAGCUCCUUUGAAUCUUUAUCAGAAGGCCUGGCCUCUUGCAGGAGGGGUACCCGGGACGCCAGGGCAGAGAGAAAACUCCAGUGUGUAAUCUCAUUACUCUCCCUCGCUCUGUCAACCUAGAGUGCACAGUUGCUUACAGCCUACAGCUGCCAGAGCGCUGAGUGUCCCUCCAGCUCAUGAGGUCACCUCCUGCAGUGUCAUAACCCAUACUGGAGAGUUGUUGGUAGCCCAGGAGUAGUUGGGACAGCCCAGACCAGAUCUGGCCAACAGUCUCACCUUCCCAGGCUGGCUGCUCCACCAAACUACAGCAGUCUUAGAAAACCUAAUGAGAGCCAGUUGUAGUGGCCGCUGGCAAACUUCCUCAGAGUCGUUGAUUGGUCAGUGGCCGAGAGCUGUAGCCAAUCAGCGCGGUGUUUGGGCCCGCAUUUCGGACCAAAGGUCCGAGUAGGCGUCUGGCGGGCACAGUGGCCUGCAGAGACUCAAGGUAUGGAGGGCAGAGCCAGGGAGGGGUGAGCAUGUCUUGGGACCGGACAGCCAGGCGUCUGGCACCGCCAUCACCGCUAUCGCUGCUCCUGGUGCUGGUGCUGCUGUCACGAGCCGGGACUCUGCAUCCUGAAUAGCUCUUUCCUUACGGGGAGUCGUGGGGAGACCGGCUGCUGCAGGAGGGCGACGUUGAAAGCUCCGCGGCUGUGAAGCUAGCAGUACGUAGAAGUAGCUUCUAUGGUGUCCAGUUCAGCAACCUCUACGUGAGCACCAAUGGGAUCAUCUCCACCCAGGACUUACCCAGGGAGACUUAAUAUGUCGUUGAUGAUUUUCCUACUGACUUCCCAGCCAUCGCCCCAUUCCUGGCUGACAUCCACUCGAGUCACAGCAGUGGCCGGAUCCUGUAUGGAGGACACCUCCUGGGCUGUGCUGAGUCUGGCUGCUUGCUACCUGUGCACAGGCUUCCCCCCUACCCACUUCUUCCUGGCCACCUGGGAGCAAGUGGGCGCCUAGGAGGAGGACAGGCUUGGUUGGGGCUGAGUGGUCUGGAGAGCUAUAGGAUCUUACCAUCACAUUCUGAUGGGUAGCCCUGAGCAAUGAGAAUUGACAACUCUGGUAUCAUCUCUGUGACAUCCUCGACCAACAACUUGAGAGCAAGGUGUCCUACAUCUGGCUCUGGACUUUUUGAGAACUUGUAGCCAAUGGAAGGAGAAUUACCCACCUUGUAACGUUCGUUGGUGUCUGCAAUUCCUUUUUGUCCACAGCUGAACACUUUCCAGGCCGUUCUGGCAUCCGAUGAAUGUGAUUCCUAUGCCCUCUUUCUCUAUCCUGCCAAUGGUCUUCAGUUUUUGGAACUCACCCCAAAGAAUCCUACAGUGUCCAGCUGCAGCUUCCUGCUAAGGUGGGAUUCUGCCAAGGGGAAGCAGAUGACGUGAAGAGAAAAGCCCUGUAUUUCAGCCUGACUAACAGUGAGCAGUAAGUGAAGAAUCUCUACCAGUGAGUAAUGUGGAGUGUGUGACUGUGCUAUGCACUGGAAGGACAUUUAGGAGGGACACUAUCUCUAGUGGCCAGAAACCAUUUGAUAAUAACCUUUGGUGGCUUCUAAGAAAGGCGCUGGUUGAAAACCAAGAGCUAAGCUGGACCUCUGGAGCUUCAGGCUGCCCAAGAUUUAAAAGAUUCUUUCUUUUUCCUGCACUAUCUGUCAGGCAUAAACCAGAACCAGAAGUGAUUAUAUGUUUUUGCAGAACUACUGGGAUUUGCUGUGAAAAACAUUGUUCUUGGGGCUACAUAAAAAUAUCCAGUCAUAACUAACUGCCUCAGUGGACGCUUUUCAGGUUAAUGAUUUCUGGAGAGGAGGCAUCAUGAUUCAGUCUUUCAAACAGGUAUUGUUAAGGAUUAAAUUAUGAGUACUAUAAUGGGGGGGAGGUAGAUGAGGCUUUUAGUCGUCUCAGGUUUCUCCUGGCACCAUCACCAGAAAUCAUGCUGACUGGUUUACCCACAGCGUUUCCAGAGACAAAUCCAUUUCUUAGUCUCCCCAGUGGGUUAUUCUGCUAGUGCUGCAAUAGGCUAUUCUGCAGGUGUCUGUCCAGUUGGUGCUCCUAAGAGACUAUUGACUUCAGGUGGGCUCUUUUGUCUUUGUAUUUUGCAAUACUAGCUUAGCCCACAGUAGUUACUUUGUGGCUUCCCAUAGUUGCUUCUCAUUCAAACUAGAUCGUGGGCAGAUAGAGUGACAGAGCAAAAAUUUGCCGAUCACUUUAUCUGCAGAGCAUUGUGAUAAAACCCUUGCAGAUAUUAUCUUAAUUAAACCUCUCUCAACUUAUAGGUGGUAAGUAUAACUAUCUUCUCAGAUUUACCAAUAGUCUUACCGAAAUUACGAAAGGUGCUUAUGUCAGAGUUAAAUGGCCGAGCCAUAGUCAAUACAGCUCUGAAGUAUGGAUACAGGGGUGAUCUCUUAUGCAGAGUAGAUAGGGUGUUUCUUACUUGGAUUUCAUGUUACCUGGUUGUUUGUAUUUUGGUUCAUUUUAUCAGUCACUCUGGUUACAGCUCACUCUGCCCCUCUCCUGCAAUUUUGAUAUUUCUGGAAAGCAUCAAAGGAAAUAGUGAAGAACCGGAGUGAAUGGAUGACAGUGUUUGUGUGCGUGUGCGUGUGCGUGUGCAUGUGUGUGUGUGUGUGUGUGCACUCGCACGUACGUGUGCAUGGAUGUGUAUGCAUGUGUGUGUGAGCACGUGUAUGAAGGCCUUUAUGGCUCUAGACAACUGUCUCCUCACAUGCUUUUGCACACACACACAGGCACAGACACACGCACACGCACAGCAGCUUCUUAUGGCUAUGCAGGUACCAAUUCUCAUUCUAAUACUCUGUGAUUCUUGGUCCUUCCCAGAUUCUGUUGGUGUCCAGGGGCUCUGCCUUUAAAAAUCAUAGUAUUUCAAGCACUCAGCCUUAUUUCCAAGGUUCUACAUACAAGUGUCCCCUCCUGUUCUGUGAUCCGUACCGUGUGUAGGUCUCCAUCUCACCCUAGUCUGUGUAGUCUAGACUCUAGAACAGACUUAGCAGUUGGCCUCUAUCCUUUCUCCUCUAACCUCUUAUCCUCUAGCUUAAAGACUCUCUCUCCCCAGGUUGUACCUAGAGCCCCUUGGAAGGAGGGCUGAGUGCUUGAAAUACUACAAUUUUUAAGACACAGGCAUGUGCCAGAAAGGAGCAGCGUGAGACAUGACCAGAGUGAUUGACAAAUUUGGUGUGCCUCACGCUUAAUAAAAUGAGACAAACUACAGACAAUGGAAUAACAUAAAAUGCAAGGCAGAAUUAUCCUACCACUACUCUGAGUGACAACUCUGCUACCUCCCCUUUCAGCGUGGGCUUUGCCUCCCAUUCAGUGUUUGCAUACUUAACACUGUCUCCUAGGCUUCUUUCCUCCAGAUUCUGUCAGUAUCGUUGUCUUGAGGGUUGAAACAUUGCAUCACACAUGCCCAGCAUUGAGGACAACAUUUGUAAACUAAAGUAGCUCAGGAUCAUGGUCCUAGCUCCCUCUGGAUGCUUUGCUGUACCCCUCCAAGGAGAAGAACAUUUUCCUAGUCCUGGAAUCUCUUCCUCCAACAGAGGUCAUAUAUUAUUCAUGUUUGCAGGCCUCUUCUGAAACAUAUGCAUAUUCAGGUAGGGAAGAGAGUAGUUCCUGGGAAGGGAUUAGUCCCAGGCAGGCCAGCAUGGCUGUUCUGUUUUGUGAUACAGUUUUCCUUUUAGGAGACAAAUUCUAUCUGUGAGCAUGCAUAAACGACCUCAGUGUGGAGGGUAAAUUAGCUGUUUAGAUUCCCACCAGGCACUGUGGCAAACGCCAGGAUAUUGAUUUAUGUCUCAUUAGAAGGCAUUUAUUUAGCUCCACUCUUGCAUGAUUUGUAUUUUCCUUCUCUUUGAAGCUUUGAAGCUGUCCACUUCCAAACUCAAGAGGUUUCCCAGCUGCAAUACCCUGCUGUGGGAUGGGCUGGGGCUCCAGGGUGUCUUCUUACUGAUUGGUUUCAGUUUUUAUAAUUACAUUACUGUGUGGGAGUUGGGGUUGGACGCAGCUGUUGGGGAGGUGUCUGGGUCGGAAUCCAGUUUGUCAGAGUUUGUGCUCUCCCCCUAUCACGUGGAUUCUGGGUUUGCUCUAAGGUCUUGUAGGUAAGUGGCUUUCCCUGCUAAGUCAUUUUUUCAGCCUGGAGUUUUGUCUUCUGUGGUGUGUUUUAUUUGCAACCCUAAUUUCUAUAAGCACCAACUGAAGGCAAGAGUUGAAGCUCUGCUGGUAGAACAUUGCCUAGGGGACACAAAGCCCAGAGUUUUGACCUUGGUGCCACACAAACAGGGUUUAGUAUCACACCUGGUAUCCCAGUGUUUGGGAGGUGCAGGCAGGAGGAAUAGAAGCUCAAGGUUAUCAUCAGCUACAUGAGACUGUGUCUCAAAAAAUGAAAAGAAACCUUAGCAAUUGAAUAUAGCAAAUCACAGAAGGGACGAACACUGACCUGAUUGGGGAGGAGAGGGUUUAUUUGGUUUACUGUCCUGGGUCACACAGUGCAUUAGGGGAGCCAAGGCAGGAACUAAAGCAAGACAGGAACCUAGGAGGAGGUAGGAACUGGAGCAGAAGCCAUGGAGGAACAUUAAUAUUGGCUUGGUUCCUCUGUCUUACUCAGCCUGAUUUCUUACACAACCAGAGAUGGUACCCUAGGGUGGUAUCACCCAUAGUGAACUGCUCUUCCUCCUACCAAUCAUUAACCAAGAAAGCGCCCCUCCCCCAGACUUGCCUAUAUGCAUGUGUGAUUGAGGCAAUCUCUUCUCAGGUCUGCCUCAGGGUGACGAAAUCCAGCCAGUACAGCAGAGUAUGGUGAAUACAUUUGGGUACAGGUAGUGGCUCGUGGACAGUGCACAGAAUGAGAGAGAGAUAGAGAACUGAGGAAAACCUCAACUCUCUUCAUUAUUGCAGUAGAAACCUAGACUAGAAUGAUGAAUACUUGCCCCAGUGAACAAAGAUCUCGUUAUAUGAUUCACUGGAUCUUAAUACCUCUUUUUAGCCAUUCCCUCUUAUUCUUGAUUGUUGACUUUUGAGGAAAUUACAUUGUCUGGGAUAAUUUGAGGUUUGGUAUUUCGUGCAAACACAGGAUUGAUAUCAUUGGCUAGGUCCCAUUUUCCAGAGUCAUUUUUUUUUCUCCAUCUUUAUUAAAUUGGGUAUUUUUUAUUUACAUUUCAAUUGUUAUUACCUUUCCUGGUUUCCAGGCCAACAUCCCCCUAACACCUUUCCCCUCCCACUCUAUAUGGGUGUUCCCCUCCCCACCCUCCCCCCAUUACCGCCCUCCCCCCAACAAUCACGUUCACUGGAGGUUCAGUCUUGGCAGGAUGAAGGGCUUCCCCUUCCACUGGUGCCCUUACUAGGCUAUUCAUUGUUACCUAUGCAGUUGGAGCCCAGGGUCAGUCUUUGGGUAGUGACUUAGUCACCUGAAGCUCUGGUUGGUUGGCAUUGUUGUUCAUAUGGGGUCUCAGGCCCCUUCAAGCUCUUUCAGUCUUUUUUCUGAUUCCUUCAAUGGGGUGGUCCCAUUCUCGGUUCAGUGGUUUGCUGCUGGCAUUCACCUAUGCAUUUGCCAUAUUCUGGCUGUGUCUCUCAGGAGAGAUCUACAUCCAGUUCCUGUCAGCCUGCACUUCUUUGUUUCAUCCAUCUUAUCUAGUUUGGUGGGUGUAUAUAUAUGGGCCACAUGUGGGGCAGGCUCUGAAUGGGCAUUCCUUCAGCCUUCCAGAGCCUUCCUAAUCCGAGCUUUCUCUUACGGUUAGGAGUCAUCUCUCACAUGGCUGUCCUCUUCACAGCAAGCGUACCAUUGACACUGAGAUAGUAGGUGACUGAGCUGGCAAGAAUAGUGCCACAUCCCAGCAGAAGAUCUCGAGUUUCAGGAUAGCUGGGACUAUCUGGUGAGACUCCUCUGAGAAAAGAGAUUCUUGGGAAUUAACAGGGGUUCAUGGUCUACUCUACAGAGAAAAUGAAGAUCUGUUCCCAAAUACUGAGCCUCAUUUUGAUUAAUACAUUUGUAUCUUACCCAUGUUGAACUUUUGCUCAAAAAUUGUUUUAGACUUGGUCAUUAAAAAGUACUGAUAGAUCUAUCAUCCUCUGUCAUUAAUACAUUAGUCCAUGUGAAUCCUUGUACACAGAGAUGUUUGUAAGACAAAGUUUCUUGUUAGCAUGAAAUUCUUGCCGUGGCUUUGCCAACUUUGGGCUGUAUGAUCUGAAGAUUAGCUAACCUCUCAAAACCAACUUUUUCCUCACUAAGAUCUAGCACAGCUACCACCCCUAUCUUGCAGAGCACAGUGACGACUGAUAAGCACUGGUGUAGGCACGGCUUGUAGAAAUCAGUACUAUUUAAGUGUUUUAGGAAUUUUAAGCUUAAGUAAGCUUGAGUCCGAUUUAAGUUUUCAUUCACGUCGAGAAAGCAUAAAAUAUUCUUGCAUUCCAUGUUUGCUCUCAAGACAGCCAGGAUUUUGACAGAAUAUUUGAUUUGGGCUUCUGGAGCAGACAUAUAACCUGAUGGCUUAGUGUUCCAUACACAAUGCCAAACAAAAGGCAGCUUAUAACAAAGUUCCUGUAUGGUAUUUAUCUCAGUUACUUAGAAGCUUUGCUUCUGUUUGACAUAGCAUGGAAAGUUUGGCUUUGAUCGUUAAAGUCUUUUGAUUUCAAUAUGAAUUCUGAAGGAGGAUGAAUGGACUGGUUACAAUCCACUCUUUCCACUGUUCUUAGACUAAGCAACCUGGGGAUUCCUGGGGCGUGGGCUUUUCACAUCAGCAGCAGGCUGGCCCUGGACAAUGUCUGGCCAGCCACGGUCAGAGGUGACCAUUCCACAGCCUGCUCCUCAGCGCUGGAGCACUCCUUCCACCAUGCUGCAGCCCUGGAGAUCUGUACUGAGGACAGUUGCAAUUAUCACAAUGAGAAUGGAGAGGAUGUAGAAUACCCACCAAUUGAACCAGGGCAGGCCCUGGAAGGCCACAGCAGAAUCGAUGUAUUGAUGUGUCUUUCAAAUCAAAGGCUAAUUCGAGCUUUGUGGUGAAAGAUCCCACGCAGAGAGACCCUUACUCAAGUCUUGGGAAAUCGCGGACCCCAGACACAGAGAGACCAUUUUGGAUGUAAUAAGCAAAGGCGAGGUUUAUUACGGAGACCUAUUACAGAGAUCUCCGGGCCGACACAUAUCCCACGCAGGAGACAGAGGUGUCGACCCCGAAACUCAAAAGUCAGAGGGUUAUAUAGAGAAGGCUAGGGGGUUUUGGCGUGGUUACAUAUAAUUGGCUCAUUUAAACAUAGCAGUGAGAACAAAGCAGAAAGAGUACGUGUUAGAAGUCAGGGGCUUAUCAGGGGCCGGAGGACACCUAGUUGAAAUAUGGCCCUGAGUGUGCUAGGGGGAGGUGUCUUCCUGCCAGAUGUCCCAUGAAUCAGUCCCAUUAACUCAGGCUGGUUCCUGUAUUCCUUUUUUUUUUAUCUUUAUGGCCUGCUAUUCCUGGCAGCAGGGCUUAGCCCUGAGUUUGUGGCUUUUGGGGCUAACUCUUUUAAUUUUAUAUUUCUAAACCUAGAAUUUGUAUAAUUUUCUUUUCAUUCCCGUCUUCUCCUACUAAAUAAUUCUAAUCUUAGAAUUUUGAUAUCAAGUCUCGUAUUUGGUCUCACCAGUUGUCUUAACUGACUGGUACUGUUGUCUCACAACCAUCAACCGCACAGCACCCACUCGAUUUUUAACAAAAGCAAUUAACCUGUUUGUCACGCAGGGUCCAAAAACUAAAACCAAGAAAAUUAUUAAUAAUGGCCCAGCUGUAGCAGAGAGUAGGGUAGUCAUCUAGGGAGAUCUACUAAACUAGCUCUCGAACCAUCUCUUAUGUGUUUUUCUGUCUGUCUUUUGUCUAACCUUUUUCUAAGUUUAUUUAUGGAGUCUUUAAUUAUUCCUGAAUGGUCUGUAUAGAAGCAACAUUUUUCUUUCAGUAUAGCACACAGACUCCUUCUUUAAGGAAUAUCAGGUCUAAUCUUUUUCUAUUUUGAAGGACUACCUCUGAGAGGGAGGUUAGGUAUUCUUGGAGGUCAGCUAAAAAGUCUUUGGCAUCAGGAUUCUAUCUGGACACUAUCUAAACCUAUAUACCAAGGUCAUGACUGUCUUUUAGAACUUCUAAACUUAUACAGGUUGUGAUCCCUGAGGCACAGUCCCAAGAAGUGUUAGGAGUACUAACAUAUGUAAUGUUACAUCAUUUGUAAUAGAAAUCAAGCCUAUUCCCACCCCUAUCUCGAUGGAACCCAGGACAAACAUGACUGAAUUUCCCUCUAGGUCCCAGCUCUCAGCCCUAACAGCUAGUAAGUACACGGCUGGUGAGGGCUGAGAAUUGACGGCUGUCAGGGUGGUCAGCAGCACCAGGUAUGGUCCUUUCCAGCGAGGCUCGAGUAUCUGGGCUCAGUGUAGCUGUUUCCGACCUGGAACUGAUGGGAUGUCUCAGGGGUCUCCGGGGCAUAGGCUGCUGUCAGCUGUGAGCAGAUUUCUUUCUGUAUCACCUGUAGGUCUUUUAGCCUGGCACACAAAUCAUUAUUACUAUGGCACUAUGACAAGUUGGUUUAGUAACAUCAUCUAAUACAGUCAGGGGAGCUGAGGCCCCAUAUAAGAUCUCAAAGGGGGUAAGGCUGAAUCUGGAAGGGGUAUUUCUUGCUCUGAAGAGAGCAAGAGGGAAGGAGUGUCACCCAGUCUGUGCCAGUCUCCAUGGUCAAUUUGGUCAGGGUCUCUUUUAGAGUUCUAUUUAUUUAUUCUACCUGUCUUGAGCUUUGAGGUCUGUAAAUACAAUGUAAUUUCUAAUCGACCUCUAAAUACUUGGCCACACCCUGGCUUACCUUGGCAACGAAAGUAGGACCGUUGUCUGACCAGAUUACCUUGGGCAUUCCAGACCUGGGGAAGAUUUCUUUCAGUAUCUUCUUGAUGAUUGUAGAGGCCGUCUCUCGUUUGGUGAGGAAAGCUUCUGUCUAUUUCUGAAAAAGUAUCUACAAGCACUAGGAGAUUAUAUUUUUCUGGUUUUAUCUCAGUGAAGUUCACUUUGACUUUUCGUUAAACUCUCUAGGUCUCUUUGUCCUGUUUGUUUGUUAAGCAUUUAUUUACUAACGUAUCUUAUACUUUUUACUGUCUCUCUUGGCUAAAAUCUUAAAGUCUAUUAUAUAUAUUUUAACUAUUUGGACAAACUUCUUAUCUCUUAAAUGAGUCUAUUUCUUAAUUUGGCAAAGUGAGUCUUUUGUUUGUUCUCUGGGGGGGUAUAGCUUUCUCCCCAAGUGUGUCAUUGUCCUUUUAUCUUUUAAACAACUUGGGCCUUUUCUUCUGUUGUACAUUUUAAGUGAGGCCAUCCCUUAGUCUAAUCCCAGUUCUCAGUGGCUGUCUCCUGUAGGCCUGUAACCAGGAUAGGCUCCUGCAUAGCCAUUUCUCAAGCCACUUUAUCUACUUUGUUACUGUCCCAUGUCACUGAAUCUCUUUCCUCCUGAUAUCCUGAGCAAUGAAUAGUACUCACAGUUGUUGGCUUCAUCAGGGCAUCUAAGAGAUGGCAAAGGCAUCUGUGGUGCUGAUGUGUUGGGGGUUGGGGUUCAGCCAUUCUAGAUGACACUGUGUUGUCCACCAUGGCAGCACCCACUUGUCUCUGACCUUCAUUCAUGAAGAGAACUGUUCCCGUCUGUGGACAAGGUCCUCGGCUUUCAGCAGGGGUCAAUCAGCCAGUCACAGAGGUCUUUCCUCCACCCAUGUGCUUCUGUCAGUGUUUGACACUCGUGCUGUGGUGGCUCCAGGUCCGGAUUGGGCAGCAAGGUGACCAGAUUGUCCCCAACCGGUGGAGAAUCUAGUCCAUGGCAGCUGACCAGUGGUCCCAUCUUUGGACACUCUAUCAGCCACUCUAUCACAGUUUAAGUCAUGGAUUGGGUGAUAAUUGUUAGUGCCCGGCUGGCAGGAACGGUGUGUUCCAGGCAGAAAAGCACUAAGCCAUUCAUCUCCCAGCAUCAGUUACUGGUGUACUGAGACAGGUCUUAAGCUCCACAUACACAGUCUAUAGAUAUGUAUACACAUGGCCUCAUCUAGCCAUUUUAGCCCACGCAAGCCAAUUUGGAGAGCAAUUUUCUCAUGAGCAAGGGAUAGGGGCAGUCAGGGAUGACCAUGAAUUAAUGGGUGGGUUACCCGGCCCACGCCAAGGUCCACUGUUCUUCGGGCAGUCCAUAAGUAUUGUUUGUUGUCAGUAGGCCCCUGUACCCAAGGUCUUUGGAUACUGGCCCACUGGAGCAUAGGAGCACAGAGCAUUGGGUCCCUGUAUCCACAAAACAACUGGGCGGGCUUCCCUUCCAUCUCUGUGUAUAGCCAGCACCAAGAGGCUCUCCAGUGUCCCCUCUUGUUCUUUCUGGGGCAGUCCCUGACCCAAUGUCCUUUUUCUUCGUAUUAGGCACACUGAUCUUUAGCCAGGAAUUCUCUUCUGUUGUCAGGUACUAUCUUCCUAGGUUCUCCAACUACUGUGGCCAGUAUAUGUUCCUCUCUUGUCUUUUAUCUCUCUUUAGCUCUCUAACUUUUUUUUUGUCUCUUUUCUUCCCUAGCUUUCUGUUCUUUUUACCUCUUUCUUUUUUAACUUUAUUUUCUCUGUAACUUAUACUAACUCUCAGCAACUUAACUUAACCCUUCAAAUUUUUGUAACUUUUUUUUUUCAUAUCCUUUUUUUAUCUUAGCCAGAUUGGUGGGGCAUUUUCUAGCCCCUCAGAGACCCACCCUUGGAGCCUGGCAGCAGACCUGGCACUCCCUACCUUUAGGCGUCUGAAGAGAGCAGGCAGAAGUGAGGGCCUUCUAUCCAUCUCUGGAACACUUUUUCUGGCCUCUAGUAGGAUUCCGUCUUUCCUCGGUGGUAAAGAAGACCUGUAACAGUUACUAACAAGCAUCUUAAAUGGGAUGGUGGAAAACAAGAGAAUCUUGAGAAUAGAGGUCCACUGAAGAGGGCAAACAGCAUUUAGUCACACAGCUAAGCCAGGAGGCUUUCUUGGGACAAAAAGACCUUGUGUCUGUGAAACAGAAAAGUGAGCAGAGGGGCAGCCUAUCUGCUACCGGCUGUCUCUCUGGACUUAGAUUUUCCCUUAAGGAGUACCUCCCUUUAGUGCCAGCUCAGUGGCUUUAUCGCUCAAGAGACCCAUCCUCUAAAUGGCACUAGGCUUCCAGUAAGAACUAAUAACAAAAGGAUGGAGAGACGUUAGAACCUGGGUGUUAGAUACUAAGCAGCUGACAAAAGAAUUGUAACCAGUUUACCUGGGGCUUCUUGUCUCUUAUAUCUAAUAAGGAGAUUGUUAAUACUAUAGUACCAACCUUUAAUAAUAAAAAAACUAUAGCUCUCUCCAUGUCUCUGAAUAUCAGGACUGCAGUAGUAGUCCUUCACCAAACUGUCUCAGUGGGCUAAAGGCCCAUGGAAAAGAAAACAUUAAUCCUGACCUUGGCCACAGCCAAAGCCUGAAUUUUAAAUUCUGACUGGCAAAACAAAACAAAGUUCUUCAUGGUUUGUUGUAGAUUCUUUGAAACUAUUUUAGGGGCUUCUCUGUCCCCCAACCUGGGACAUUUCCACCACAGGGGCAGGAACUGGCUGCUGUGGGGAUAGGAUCAAAGGCAUUCUCCAUGCUAAUGAUGACCAGUGAGAAAAGUAAUUUAAUGCUGGAGACUGACUCCUCUCUUGGAAUAGGGCCAGCAGAUAAGGCAGGCUCCUUUUUUUUUUUUUUUUUUUUUUUUUGCUUUUAUGGUUUUUAUUUUACCUACAGUAUUUAUUUAGCAAGCAGGACUUCAAGGCAGGCUCCUUAAAGAACUUCUCCUAAUGAGCACUCUCUUUCUGUGAGCAAGAGUUGAAGGUCUGGUCACUAAAAGCAGAAAUUCCUUUCUUGUUCUUGUUUUCUUUAGAGUCCUCUCCCACCUCACUCUCAGCCUUUUUAGAUCAUUCUUUCUGUAGCAUUUCUAACACAGCCUGUCCCUUUUUUAUAGCCUGUUGACAGGAUUUCUGAUCUUUUAGGCAGCUACGCAUUAAGUGCCACACCAGCUGAAACUCCGCCUUUAAGAUUCUUUGCUCUCAAGCAAAAUUUAAAUCCUUUUUUAGCUUAUCUCAGCUGUCCACCGUGAGAUUCCCAGAGAUCGCGAACCAAGGUGUAAUAAUUCACUAAGAAAUCUCUCUAUAGUGUUUCUUUUUACCUUAAGCCUUUUCUUUUUAAACAGCUCCUGAAGAGCCAGAAAAAUUGGGUGAGACUUGAGAAGUCCCCAUGCUCGCUGCAGCAGCUCCGCAGCUAAUUUUGCUCCCCCCUACUGUGUGCUGCAAGCACAAGCACAGAUAAAACACUAUGUUUUAAAAAUUAACGUUGGCUAUCAACCAACACACCGCCACUAGAGCGGGGUCCAUAAAAUUAAGUUUCUUACUCACUAUACUUGUUUCAUACCGGAGGCCUAAUCAGGGGAACUUUUUUAUUUACGAGAGGUUUUGUCCUCAAGGUUUUUGUUAAUGUCUGUUUACACAACUGUUAACAGCAGCUAGGCUGAUCAAGGGGAGUAAAGGGAGGGGCAUCUCUCUUUGGGGAGGAGGCUCAAGAGAGAAAGACAAAAUUCCCUGGCAGAAAACAAUUUUUCUCAAGCAAAUUAUUUUUAACUCUUAACUUAAGCACCAAGAGGACCAAGUAAAACUCUUUGACGAACAAAGCAAACAGUUUCAUGAUUUCAAACACAGUCAUCAGUCCAAGAUUUCAAACACAGUCGUCAGUCCAAAUUCAAACACAGUCGUCAGUCUAAAAUUCAAAAACGAAACAAAAGCCAAAAAGACACUCAACAAUACCACAGAAAACAAACCAGACAAACAAGACCAAGACAAAGCAUCUUAUAACCAAUUUUCACAGAUGCCUGGUACCUUCAGUACCUGGCCCAAACUGCAGCUUAACCUUAUCUGCUUCUGGGAUACCAAACACAGAAACAGAAUACAGACAACAGACACUAACACGUAUUCCACUUCCACUCUCUAAGCACUGACCAGAGUGAGACUCCACGUCCACUCUCUAAGCACUGACCAGAGUGAGACUCCACGUCCACUCUCUAAGUACUGACCAGAGUGAGAUUCCACGUCCACUCUCUAAGCACUGACCAGAGUGAGAUUCCACGUCCACUCUCUAAGCACUGACCAGAGUGAGACUCCACGUCCACUCUCUAAGCACUGACCAGAGUGAGACUCCACGUCCACUCUCUAAGCACUGACCAGAGUGAGACUCCACGUCCACUCUCUAAGCACUGACCAGAGUGAGACUCCACUUCCACUCUCUAAGUACUGACCAGAGUGAGACUCCAUGUCCACUCUCUAAGCACUGACCAGAGUGAGAUUCCACGUCCACUCUCUAAGUACUGACCAGAGUGAGACUCCAUGUCCACUCUCUAAGCACUGACCAGAGUGAGAUUCCACUUCCACUCUCUAAGUACUGACCAGAGUGAGACUCCAUGUCCACUCUCUAAGCACUGACCAGAGUGAGAUUCCACUUCCACUCUCUAAGUACUGACCAGAGUGAGACUCCACGUCCACUCUCUAAGCACUGACCAGAGUGAGAUUCCACUUCCACUCUCUAAGUACUGACCAGAGUGAGACUCCACGUCCACUCUCUAAGUACUGACCAGAGUGAGACUUCACCGGUACCGAGACACACAUAUAUACACACACGGCGGAACCAAAACAGAGACAGACACAGACUGACAAUUGCGGCGCCGCUCUCACAGAAACACUCAGACAAACAUCCAACUCACCUCCAAGGGGUCUUCGGAGUCUGGGGUGGUCGCGAAGAUCCCGGACGAGCCCCCAUUAUUAUGAAAGAUCCCACGCAGAGAGACCCUUACUCAAGUCUUGGGAAAUCGCGGACCCCAGACACAGAGAGACCAUUUUGGAUGUAAUAAGCAAAGGCGAGGUUUAUUACGGAGACCUAUUACAGAGAUCUCCGGGCCGACACAUAUCCCACGCAGGAGACAGAGGUGUCAACCCCGAAACUCAAAAGUCAGAGGGUUAUAUAGAGAAGGCUAGGGGGUUUUGGCGUGGUUACAUAUAAUUGGCUCAUUUAAACAUAGCAGUGAGAACAAAGCAGAAAGAGUACGUGUUAGAAGUCAGGGGCUUAUCAGGGGCCGGAGGACACCUAGUUGAAAUAUGGCCCUGAGUGUGCUAGGGGGAGGUGUCUUCCUGCCAGAUGUCCCAUGAAUCAGUCCCAUUAACUCAGGCUGGUUCCUGUAUUCCUUUUUUUUUUAUCUUUAUGGCCUGCUAUUCCUGGCAGCAGGGCUUAGCCCUGAGUUUGUGGCUUUUGGGGCUAACUCUUUUAAUUUUAUAUUUCUAAACCUAGAAUUUGUAUAAUUUUCUUUUCAGUGGAUGUUGGCACCACGUCUCCAGAGUCUGAUCACGCUUCUCCUUUGCCACACCCAGCACCUGGUAACUGGCCAUCCUACCGGGAAACAGAAUCGGCUUCUUUGGUCUGUCAAAUCAAACAGGGGCCACCUGUGGGAGAGGUAGAGGUCCUGGAUUUCAAGGACCCAGCAUUGCUUUUGGAUCCAAUGGGCACCAGAACCUCAGCUCCUCCACAGGCAGAUGCAGCUUUCCUAACUCCAGGCAGGAAAGACCUUGGGAUCAGAAACACCCAGUCCUAUCCAGAGUCACGGCCAGUGCUUUCACAGCCAGAUGUUCCCGUCGCUCCUUUGGAAGGAGAAAUCCUUCCUAAUUACCCCGAGUCUGGUACAUGCCACCCCUGAGUGGAGGGAGGUAUGUGGUAGGACUGGAUGACCACGUGAGUUCUAAAGCUCAAGGCAAGUGCAUUGAAAAACUGGGCAUUUGAGGUUUUGUUUAAAGAAAAUAUAGCAGAGUUGACAAACUAGACAUGGUCAUUCACCUGGGCCCAUCCCUGUACCGGGCAGGCUGGGACAGGCUGGGGCAGGCUGAGACAGAAAGAUUUUCUAGGUUCAAGAGUAGCCUGGGCCAUAUAGAGAAUUGUAGGCCAGCCUGGAUUAUACAGCCAGCUCUCCUCCCAAGUGUAAUGAAAAAUUUCGGUUUGCAAGUUCAGAGAAGGUGAGCUAUGUCGAGGCUUCAUAGGCAUUGCAGGAUGGAGGGUACAGCCAUUUAGCUUUGACUGUGAUAGUUAGCUGUGCAGGCUUAGGCAAACAUGCUGAAGAGCCUUAGGGAGAGAACAUGGUAUAGACACCUGUGUCUGCUAUUAAUUCUGGUUCUUGUCCCCACAGCUGUGGCCUUCCCCUCCCCUGAACCACCUUAACCUGGUUCUGUGACUCACUAGCACUAAAGGUAGCAGGAAGAAGGCAGGGGAAUGCCCAGAGGGAACAACCUUUCAUCCACCCUGAUGGACUGGGAAACUGGUCCUAGAUUCAUCCUCCCCCACACCUAUCUCCCGCUCUCCCUGCUCAAUGAUCUCUGCCAGGAGGAUGUGUCAGAGGUCAUACCUCUCUCCACAGCAUUUCAACUUCACAGUUUUUCUGUCCGUGUAUUGACAAAAACAUUAACCUAGCAGAGAGGACCUUCUGGUUCUGCUGGGACAUUUUCUGCAGGUUCAGGGGUUGUUUAGAGAAAUAGUUCAGGAGGGAAGAAAACACUUUGUGUUUAACAGAGUAUAGAGUAAUAGUUAGGGGAGGACCGUUGUUGUCAAGUUUGAAUCUUGGCCAUGCUAAGGCAAGUUAUUUCACCCUCAGGUCUCUGAUUUUCAUUUAUAAACGUAUUGCCAGGAUUUGUUGUUAGUAUGUUAUGUUUUGAGUGCCUGCAUUAGUUUAAGACCAUCAUUACUAAUCUUUAGAGGAUUUAAAACAUAGCAAACUGGAGGAUGGGGGUGGGGAGUGAACAGCUGGGCUGGAAAACAGAGAAACUGAAAACAGAAAGUCUCAUUAAAAAGCUUUGGCCUCCUGGCUCCUUUUCUGCUUGAUGGAGUUUGAUGAGCAUUUGUUUUUGUUAAAGCCAAAGGCAUGGAUUUCUUUUAAAAGUUCUAGAACUUUCAAAUUCUUCUAACAAUCUCCUAAAAUAUUCAGUGUGAGUUUUUUCUAUCUAAAGAGAUUUAAAGGCACGAAUCAAAAAUUUCCUCAAAGGGAUUUAGUGUUACAGAUGGGUUUUUGAGUGGCCUUUUGUUGGGGGUUGUAUUUUCCUGGCCCAGGAAGAGCACACAGUUAUUGGAAAGUGGUUGUAUGUACAGUUGUCUGAAACCUGAGGAGCGGGCUAUGGCCCAGCACAAAACUGUAAACUGAUGUAAAACCUUCAGAGAGUUUUCUUUUGCAAUCGGUCAUGGUUCUUGAAGCGUGAACUUUGUAGAUGAUAAUGUGUCAGGUUGUGCGUGGCUGUUUAAGAGCUCAGAAAGGCCUGAAAUGGAACCAGUCACUGGGAACUGAGGGUAACAGCAUAACCCAGGAGGGACAUGAUCUGUGGUAUUUAAUCAGCUGCCAAAUGUAGUCAAUGCUGACAUCUAAAUGCUAGAAUGGUUAUGAAAAAGACUUUCAGGGGGAGAUUGUCCAACUGGAAGCUACUAAGUCUUAGAGGAGAAAAAUACUUUUAAAUUUUAUUUAAAAAAAUAUUUAUGUGUGUUCAUGUGUACAAGUUCAUGUGUGGGAAAGCCUAGCCCUUAAGAAAGAAUGUUUGGUGAGCUGUGUGAACCAUAGAAACAUGUAAUUGUUAUUAUUUAUGUUCAGAGGAAACACUGUUCUCCCGGAGGUUUAUCCAGCAGCUGUGGGCUUACUCUGGGCAGCUGUUGACAUGGGGCUGAGACCUUCUAGUACCAGCUCAAGGUAGGAAAUUCGAGGCUUCUGGUAGUGGAUGGACUUGAGUUACCCCGCAGCUCUGUUGUGUAGUUUGAAGACAGAUGCUGUUUGAACCUUAUUUUCUGAGUAGAGAGCACCCUUCUCAAUAAAUUUUAACUUCCCCUUUAAGCAUAUAGGAUUUGGUUUGCUGAGUCAGGGAAUUAGGAUUUUGUUAAAGGCUCAGAAAAUUUCUCUUCUUUUUAGUAUUGUUUUCAUUAGGGUGUGUGUGUGUGCGUGCGUGUGUGUGUGUGUGUGUGUGUGUGUGUCUGUGUGUCUGUGUUUGUGUGUGUGUCUGUGCACGCCUGCCUGCCUGCCUGCCUGUGCAUAUGUAUAUGUGUUGUAUAGGCCCCAUAGGCAUAGGAAUAGGAGAGGUGCUCUGAAGUGGCCCCAGGGCAGCUUAUGCUGCAUGAUGGUAUAGACAGGUUCCAUGUUGCCACCCUGAGCAGUGUUUCUGUGUCCUGAGAGCGGGCUGCAGCCCUGUUCAUAUUGGGAGCUUUCAAUUCCAGGCUGCAGUAGGUUUUUGGUUGUCACAGCAGAGAGUAUCUGCAUUCUCACCGCCAGGGAGGUGGACUCCACUUGCACACACACACACAGAGAGAGAGAGAGAGAGAGAGAGAGAGAGAUUGAUUCAGGGGGAAAGGCUGCAGCGCAUUUGUUAGUCUCAGUAGACUGAGCAGCUGUGAACUUUCCCUUCACUAAGGCCAUCCCUAACUCAAGCAUCAGGAACUGUUCCCUACAGCUUUUACUCUGGACUGAGCUCACCCUCCCUGUUGCCUGCCCUGAUCCUCAGCUUCCACCUGGUUCCCAGCAGCUACACAAACAGACCAGUUCUUUUAGUCUGAGGCAGGGAUUCUGUUGCAGCUUUCAACCUGGAGUAGCAAGCGCUGCUGAGGUGCUGGGGUCCUCGCAGCUGGGAGAACUGAAGUAGAGGAGGAAGGUGUGGCCAGGUCGAAAGCUCUGGGCCAGGGUGUGGUGGUCUCACAGGUGGCCAUUUCUGAGCACAGUCUCCACUGCUGUUUCUCACCCCCUGGCUUCUGAUACUCGAAGGCCUCUUCUGACAUUCCCAUUGUGACGCAGGAAGGGGAGGGUUCUGUGGGCAGCAAGUAGACACACCACCCAAUCCGGAUCAGGCGACCCAAGGGUGUCUGUUAGCCCCGCCUCCGCCCCUCCCCCAUGUCCCACCUCCAGACUGCUGCCAAGCUGCUCAAGUGGUUCUAGCUGUUGGUGGGGUCCUGCAGAUGUGAUAGGCUCCUCCUCUCCAGCCCCUCCUCCCCACCCACCUCUCAGGCCCUCCUGGGAUAGCUGUCCUCCUCUGGGGCCCUGUACUUGCUCCCAGCCAUGGUGGCUAGGCUCACUGCUCUCCUCCUUUACCUCGUUUUCUCCUUGGCCAUCCUGGUCCAGACAGGAUAUGGAGACUUCGAUGGUUUUAAUCUGGAGGAUGCGCUGAAAGAAACUUCCUCAGUAAAGCGUGACUCAAACAAACAAGUCCACCAAGCAAACACAAGUGGUCGGCCAUGCACCACACUGACAAUCUUGCCUUCAGAAAAGUACACGCAUAUGAGACUAGCUGUGCCUCCAUCUACCUGUUUGUUCUGUUGUGCAAGGCUUGUGUCUUCUCGUCAUACGUGUGUCAUCUUCCUUUUACAUUUAGAAAAUUUCACAAUUUUCAUUAUGUUGAAACCACAAGAGAACAUGCAUCUGCCUUCGCCUUUUUUCUGCUGUACAAAAAGAGAACUCCGACCCGUUUCAUUCCUCUCACUGUUUUGUUUUGAGACAGGGUCUCUUGAUUUAGCCCGAGUUGUCCUGAAAUUCUCUGUGCCGAGAAGCCCGGCUUUGACUUGGGUCCAGUGCUAGAGCAACAGUGACUCUUGGCCACUGAUGUGCAUUUCUAGCUUCAGAACCCAUGACUUUUUAUGAUUCUUCAGUGUGAUCCCCACAAUGGCCUCGGGGACCUAUACUGAGACCAUUCUCACGAUGUGACUUCUGUAAACCAUAAAGCAGCCACUGUGUUUUACAAUCUGCUUCCUUUCGUCCUCCCUUCUCCCUUCAGAGAGCCACUUUAGCACCACGACUAGAAGGACAGGAACAACCAGAGCCUCAUCAAAUCCAGCAGGUAAUGAGGUGUGGGAAGUGAGGAAGGCCAGACUCACCUGAGAAGGGACACAAGGAGGGACUCAUUAGGACUCCAUCUGGGACAGGGUCAAAAGGAGCCAUGUAGAAUUUUUAGCUGCACAUAUGAAAAGUUAGCAAAGGCACCCAUGUGAAUGUUAGAUUUAAUUCAACAGAAUCCCAUCUGGUUGGUCACUGUGCCUUACGUGAAAGCCAUGCGUUUCCACUUCCCUAUUGCUUUGGGUGACGAUGGCUGCCAGAAUCCAGGUACAGGAGGCGGAAGGGGUGAGCUGAAAUUGACUUAAGCCCCAGCCUAUCCCCAUAGCUCCCAGGUUAAACAUGAGCCAUUCAUAGUCGAGCAGAGUUGGGCAACCUGAGGCCUAAGGAGAAGUCUUCAACGAAGAUAUUCAGACGUUUUCAUGAUAUUCUCUAAGUUUUUGAAGAUCUCGGGAGAGUUUGUGUAUGUGGGUCACAUCUAUAAAUACUUCUCAUCUGAGAACUUAGAACUAAAAACUGAUAUUAAUCCGAGGAAAAUAAAAAGCCAUAUGCAUUGA